Molecule: non-coding RNA, 478 nt
Organism: Alligator mississippiensis (American alligator)
Lineage: Eukaryota; Metazoa; Chordata; Crocodylia; Alligatoridae
Source: the annotation of a RefSeq genome assembly
CAACAUCAGGAUGAAGUCUCACACUCAGCUCCUCUGGCUCAUCCUGCUCUGGAUUCAGGGCUCCAGCGGGGACAUCGUGAUGAACCAGACUCCAGAGUCCCUGGCAGUGUCACCAGGAGACACCGUCACCAUCACCUGCAAAGCUGUUACAUACAGUGGUAGCAGCGUUGCCUGGUACCAACAGAAAUCAGGACAAUCUCCUAAGCUUCUUAUCUACAGCACAAACUCGCGGCCCUCUGGGAUCCCCGACCGGUUCAGUGGCACUAGGUCGGGUAGUGACUACACUCUCACCAUCAGCAGGGUGGAAGUAGGCGAUGCUGGCGACUAUUACUGUCAGCAGUAUAGCAGUUUCCCUCUCACACAGUGAUACAGACCACGACAAAAACCUCCCUGCUGGGUUCAGCUUCUCUUGCUCACUCAAACAGCUGCUUCCUGCACACGCUUACUGCCUCACACCAGUUACUUCUUGCUCAUAUGG